AGGCAUCAUGGAGUGAAGAAUGUU
Molecule: non-coding RNA, 24 nt
Filed under: Cricetulus griseus (Chinese hamster)
Lineage: Eukaryota; Metazoa; Chordata; Mammalia; Rodentia; Cricetidae
Source: RNAcentral